This 433-nucleotide ribosomal RNA is filed under the name uncultured bacterium. Its description in RNAcentral is "partial 16S ribosomal RNA". It matches the Rfam family "Bacterial small subunit ribosomal RNA", at positions 29 to 507 of the family's 1533-position model. The record is from RNAcentral.
AACGAACGCUGGCGGCAUGCCUAACACAUGCAAGUCGAACGAGACCUUCGGGUCUAGUGGCGCACGGGUGCGUAACGCGUGGGAACCUGCCCUUAGGUUCGGAAUAACUCCCCGAAAGGGGUGCUCAUACCGGUUAAUGUCUUCGGACCAAAGAUUUUUCGCCUUUGGGUGGGCCCGCGUUGGUUUCGCUAGUUGGUAGGGUAAAAGCCUACCAAGGCGACGAUCCAUAGCUGGUCUGAGAGGAUGACCAGCCACACUGGGACUGAGACACGGCCCAGACUCCGACGGAGGGCAGCAGUGGGGAAUAUUGGACAAUGGGGGAAAGUCUGAUCCAGCAAUGCCGCGGGAGUGAGGAAGGCCGUAGGGUUGUAAAGCUCUUUUACCCGGGAUGAGAAUGACAGUACCGGGAGAAUAAGCUCCGGCUAACUCCGUG